UUACAAUUCUUUGACCCUCGAGCAAACUUCUCAAGCUUCUCCAUCGGUAUCAUCAUUUGGCGUUGUCUCUUUUGAACUCGAGCAAUUACAUUAUUUAAGUAACUAAAUAAAUAAAUAAAUAAAAUGCACGACACGCAGGCCGUAUUUUAAAAUAAACCACGACACGCAGGCUGUAUAAAUUAACGCACCAAAUAUCUAAGGUCAUAACCAUAUACCAUAUAUUUAAUAAAUAAAUAAAUAA
RNAcentral lists this long non-coding RNA (241 nucleotides) under Trifolium pratense (red clover). RNAcentral's name for it is "long non-coding RNA (TPRA_LNC009509)". Lineage: Eukaryota; Viridiplantae; Streptophyta; Magnoliopsida; Fabales; Fabaceae. The record is from RNAcentral.